This 479-nucleotide ribosomal RNA is filed under the name uncultured bacterium. RNAcentral's name for it is "bacterial SSU rRNA". It matches the Rfam family "Bacterial small subunit ribosomal RNA", at positions 31 to 507 of the family's 1533-position model. The record is from RNAcentral.
GAACGCUGGCGGAAUGCUUUACACAUGCAAGUCGAACGGCAGCACGGACUUCGGUCUGGUGGCGAGUGGCGAACGGGUGAGUAAUAUAUCGGAACGUGCCCAGUCGUGGGGAUAACGUAGUGAAAAUUACGCUAAUACCGCAUACGAUCUAAGGAUGAAAGCGGGGGAUCGCAAGACCUCGCGCGAUUGGAGCGGCCGAUAUCAGAUUAGGUAGUUGGUGAGGUAAAGGCUCACCAAGCCAACGAUCUGUAGCUGGUCUGAGAGGACGACCAGCCACACUGGAACUGAGACACGGUCCAGACUCCUACGGGAGGCAGCAGUGGGGAAUUUUGGACAAUGGACGCAAGUCUGAUCCAGCCAUUCCGCGUGCAGGACGAAGGCCUUCGGGUUGUAAACUGCUUUUGUACAGAACGAAAGGUCUCUAUUAAUACUAGGGGCUCAUGACGGUACUGUAAGAAUAAGCACCGGCUAACUACGUG